RNAcentral lists this ribosomal RNA (446 nucleotides) under uncultured bacterium. RNAcentral describes it as "bacterial SSU rRNA". It matches the Rfam family "Bacterial small subunit ribosomal RNA", at positions 41 to 515 of the family's 1533-position model. The record is from RNAcentral.
GGCAUGCUUAAUACAAGCAAGUCGAACGAUGCUUUCGGGCAUAGUGGCGCACGGGUGAGUAACGCGUGGGAACCUGCCUCUUGGUUUGGAAUAACCGCGAGAAACUGCGGCUAAUACCGGAUACGUCGGUGCCCUGUGGUGGGGUGCUGGGAAAGAUUUAUCGCCGAGAGAGGGGCCCGCGUCUGAUUAGGUAGUUGGUGAGGUAACGGCCCACCAAGCCUAUGAUCGGUAGCUGGUCUGAGAGGAUGAUCAGCCACAUUGGGACUGAGACACGGCCCAGACUCCUACGGGAGGCAGCAGUGGGGAAUAUUGGACAAUGGGCGCAAGCCUGAUCCAGCAAUGCCGCGUGAGUGAUGAAGGCCUUAGGGUUGUAAAGCUCUUUCGCACGCGACGAUGAUGACGGUAGCGNGUANAAAGAAAGCCCCGGGCUAACUCGUGCCAGGACG